Molecule: ribosomal RNA, 263 nt
Filed under: Glomus sp. (unid)
Lineage: Eukaryota; Fungi; Glomeromycota; Glomeromycetes; Glomerales; Glomeraceae
Source: RNAcentral
CAGUCGUACCUGCGGACAAUCAGCUUUUUGAGUGUGAUUAUGUGGAUUGUGAGGAGUUUAAUCACCCUCAUGUUUUACGUAUUCGUGCUCUUGGGUGUACUUGCCCGUGUGGUAGGUUAACAUCAAUUUCGGUCGUCAUAAAAUGACUGGAGGAAUGUAGCUUUGGUCUUGUAUCGAAGUGUUAUAGACUCUGGUAGAUGUGACGAUUGGGAUUGGAGGUAUUGGACAACGGACUACCCGUUCGGGGCUACUCGUCUGAUCUC